This 213-nucleotide unclassified non-coding RNA is filed under the name Hevea brasiliensis (rubber tree). Lineage: Eukaryota; Viridiplantae; Streptophyta; Magnoliopsida; Malpighiales; Euphorbiaceae. The record is from RNAcentral.
GAGGGAUAUUUCCUUGCCAUUAAGCCACAUUCGAUCUUGAUCAAAAGCAGGACUAACAGCAACAGUAGUAGUAGUACAAAGAUGUGCAGGAUCAAGAGUUACACUAAUACUAUCAUUAAUUGCAAGAAUUAGGUUUUCAUCUCUUUUUCCCCAAUAUUUUAUCACAGCAAUGUUAGUGGGUGUUUGUGCUGUUACCAUCAAAACCCAUUUUUG